UAAGGAAUAUUGGUCAAUGGACGCAAGUCUGAACCAGCCAUGCCGCGUGCAGGAAGACGGCCUUAUGGGUUGUAAACUGCUUUUGUCAGGGAAUAAACCCCUCGAUGCGUCGGGGGCUGAAGGUACCUGAAGAAUAAGCACCGGCUAACUCCGUGCCAGCAGCCGCGGUAAUACGGAGGGUGCAAGCGUUAUCCGGAUUCAUUGGGUUUAAAGGGUGCGCAGGCGGGUUUGUCAGUCAGUGGUGAAAUCCUACGGCUUAACCGUGGAACUGCCAUUGAUACUGCAAGUCUUGAGUAUAGUUGAAGUGGGCGGAAUGUAGCAUGUAGCGGUGAAAUGCAUAGAUAUGCUACAGAACACCAAUUGCGAAGGCAGCUCACUAAGUUAUAACUGACGCUCAUGC
RNAcentral lists this ribosomal RNA (400 nucleotides) under uncultured bacterium. Its description in RNAcentral is "bacterial SSU rRNA". It matches the Rfam family "Bacterial small subunit ribosomal RNA", at positions 355 to 752 of the family's 1533-position model. The record is from RNAcentral.